GGAGGCCCCAGGUAUGUUUCCUGCCCUGGAGGAGGAAUGCUUUACAGAUGUUGGAGCUGCCUCAAGGCAUGACCAGGAGGGGCCGGAGGGGCCGGAGGGGCUGGAGGAGCAGAACAUAGGUGGCGACGUUGGCCUGGUGCCUGCACAGGAGCAGUCAUUGGUUAAAAUGUCAUCUGGAAGGAGCCUAAAUCUUUGGGUCCUCCUUGGAGAGUCCCAGUAGAAGCAAUGCCUGCCCUUUGUAGAAUGCUGGGAAAAUAGAGAAAAGCAAGAACAAGAAAGCCCGGACCUCCUCCGUCAGCCUGCCUGCACGUGGGAGUUAAAAUGAAACGCUUUUGCAAACAUUUGUUAUUUUUGUUUUUCCUCAGUUAAACUCUGAUGGUGCACAUCA
Molecule: long non-coding RNA, 388 nt
Organism: Sapajus apella (tufted capuchin)
Lineage: Eukaryota; Metazoa; Chordata; Mammalia; Primates; Cebidae
Exons: 2
Source: RefSeq, a predicted model, not a curated record